This 30-nucleotide non-coding RNA is filed under the name Rattus norvegicus (Norway rat). Lineage: Eukaryota; Metazoa; Chordata; Mammalia; Rodentia; Muridae. The record is from RNAcentral.
UCCAACUGAGAUUUAUUAUCCUCUGGGAAU